UCCCAUUUUAGAGUUUGUUUUUUUUUUUUAUGUUGCCGCAUUUAAUGUAUUCCCGGCACGUUGCACGGGUUGUAGGACGAAAGACGGGGCGUGGCUGGGGAUAAUAGACAAUUAAUUGGCCACAUCAUGGGCCAAUUUAUGAAUUUGCAAAGUCCCUGCCCGGAUCUGUCGCUGCCAUUUAAAAACAUUUUGAGGGUAGCAAAUUCUAUUUUAUCUACUAACAAAUAUUUAACGUUCAUUAUGACUCGUGGCAAAAUUUGAAGACAUUUAAUCCAGUUGUCCCAUCCACAAAUGGAAAUGACAAAUAAGCGACUACCAGCUGCUGCUGACCCCAGGCUCGCUUGGGGCUCGCAAUAUGUUUGCAGCCACUCAGGAGAGGACACAAAGUAGUUUUGCAUCGUAAUGCAAACAAAAGCAAUCGAAGAAUCCAAUUCGAACACUUGUGUAAAUCGCAUUUGCAGUGAGUAUUAUUGUCUAAAGUGGAAUAUUUCAAUGGGCCAGAGAGUGGAGCUUUUGGGACUGACUGCCAAGCCAAACAUGUUCGAAAGUGCUGCACGAAUUUCAUGGUCAAGGUCCAAGCUCACAUCACACAUCCGCUCAUCCGCACAUCCAGGCAGCUAGUAGCUGAAGGAUGAGGAGACCACAAAGAGAUAAACGAGACUGAGGCCGAACAAAUGAAUCAUUCGACACUCGAGCACGCGAUGUUCGGUUGCGAUUCAUGGCAGGAAGGAUAAGCAAAUAAUAAUUCAUUUUGGACACCGUUGCAAUUAUAGCUGCGAUUAGGCAAAGAUCCACAACAUUUCGUUACUUGUACAAGGAGUUCUGCGUUCAAAACCAUUCCCAGAUCUGACAUCUGCGGUUGGCACUUGAAAAUAUCUAGCAACAAAUGGCAUUUGGCACAUUUUAGCAGCCUAGCAACGAUGCCGGCCAUGACGAUGCCUGUCGGUAGCUGCUUGCUGGCUGCGUGUGGCCGACUCAGCGCUGAGGUUAUUCCAUUGACCAAGUCAAUUUAGCAAAUGGCUUUAGAGUGUGUGUAGUGUGUGUAGUGUGUGCAUGUGUAACGUGCGGGCUAACACACGAUGUCACAUUACAUGGCUACUUAGCUAUGAAAAGCAUUUCAAGUGCUCGCGUGUUGCCUACGGCGAUGCGAUGUGGCGCGAUGCGGUGCAGUCCUUCCUCCUGCGGUUGCUGUUUUGAUACCCUUUAAUUCUGCUCAAGUGCAUGGGGUAUUACUGAUUAAUAUUGAAUCAAAUUGACAUCAUUCCAUCAUUUUUCUAGAUUUUUACGAAUAAAUGCAGCUGGAAUUUCAUGCAAUUUAAAUGCAUUUUGAUAUUUACUUUCCGUUUGGAAAAUGGAUGAUGGGCAUGCCCUGGUCUAGUGCUAUUUGUCUUGUUGUUGCGCAAUAGUUGUAGUGGUUAAUCAAGUAGUUGCUGCUGCCUGCUGGCUGCUGCUCGGCUUUUGUCUAAUUGCAUUGGGGAGCCGGACUCAGAGCCAGAACCAGACCCGUACCGGACCCCCAUCGCAUGAUACUUGAAUGCAUUAAAGCCGAACCUCAAGAGAAUUUCAACAGCACACACUCCAUCCUAUGAUUGAGUGGCAACACUCCCUGUAUGGACAUUAUAUGUCAUUAUCAAAUUCUAAUUGGAUAGCUUAACAGUUGCAAGUGGUGCUGGUGGUGGGGGCAACAGAUGGAGCAGGACUUGCAGAUGGGAAUACCAGCAGAAUUAAUAAUAGUACUUGCAUAUCAGCUGCAUUAGAUGGAGCUGGAGAGGGUACAUGUAUGAGUAACAACAGCCAAGGGACUGGCACUAAUCAAUGUCUACAAUAAUAGCAACGCAGUGGCUGCUGCCACUACCACCACCACAUCCGCAUCGGCAACCACCACAACCACCUCCGCAGCGGCCACCACAACUACGGCCGCCUCAGACACGACCACAACCGCAGCCUCAACCUCUGGGGGCAAGAAGAAGGUGCGCCACCACAAGCGCAAGAUCCACGGGGGCAAGAAGAGGAUCGUCCGCCGCAGGAACAGGAAUAGGAACAGGAAAAACAAAGCCUAAGCCUGAUACUUGACACCAAUCAUAACGCUGAUCCCGAUCCCUAGCGCAUCCCUGUUACCGUAAUUCUGUUUAGU
This 2134-nucleotide long non-coding RNA is filed under the name Drosophila guanche. The record is from RNAcentral. Lineage: Eukaryota; Metazoa; Arthropoda; Insecta; Diptera; Drosophilidae.